This 165-nucleotide ribosomal RNA is filed under the name uncultured bacterium. RNAcentral describes it as "partial 16S rRNA". It matches the Rfam family "Bacterial small subunit ribosomal RNA", at positions 355 to 511 of the family's 1533-position model. The record is from RNAcentral.
UAGGGAAUCUUCCACAAAUGGACGCAAGUCUGAUGGAGCAACGCCGCGUGAGUGAAGAAGGGUUUCGGCUCGUAAAGCUCUGUUGUUAAAGAAGAACGUGGGUAAGAGUAACUGUUUACCCAGUGACGGUAUUUAACCAGAAAGCCACGGCUAACUACGUGCCAG